RNAcentral lists this ribosomal RNA (253 nucleotides) under uncultured bacterium. RNAcentral's name for it is "partial 16S ribosomal RNA". It matches the Rfam family "Bacterial small subunit ribosomal RNA", at positions 524 to 776 of the family's 1533-position model. The record is from RNAcentral.
UACGUAGGGUGCAAGCGUUAAUCGGAAUUACUGGGCGUAAAGCGUGCGCAGGCGGUUGUGCAAGACCGAUGUGAAAUCCCCGGGCUUAACCUGGGAAUGGCAUUGGUGACUGUACGGCUAGAGUGUGUCAGAGGGGGGUAGAAUUCCACGUGUAGCAGUGAAAUGCGUAGAGAUGUGGAGGAAUACCGAUGGCGAAGGCAGCCCCCUGGGAUAACACUGACGCUCAUGCACGAAAGCGUGGGGAGCAAACAGG